RNAcentral lists this unclassified non-coding RNA (347 nucleotides) under uncultured fungus. Its description in RNAcentral is "sequence contains ITS2". The record is from RNAcentral. Lineage: Eukaryota; Fungi.
AACGCACCUUGCGCUCUUUGGUAUUCCGAGGAGCAUGCCUGUUUGAGUAUCAUGGCUAUAUUCAAUUUUCUUUUCUUUUAAAAAGAACUGAAAACUUGGAUCGGUGGAGGGUUGUGCUGGUCAAAAUGGGUUGGCAUUUUUAUAAUGCUUCAAUUCUUAACCUGCUCCUCUUAAAUGUAUGAGUGAAAGGCAUUCUUUUUAGUGAACCCUCUUCACUGGCAUAAUAGGUUGAUUUCUAUCUUGUCCGUGUGAGGGUUUAAAGAAGGAUCAUUUUUGCUUCAAACUGUCUCUAGUAAGACUUCUUGACCAUUGAUCUCAAAUCAGGUAGGAUUACCCGCUGAACUUAA